Molecule: ribosomal RNA, 323 nt
Filed under: uncultured eukaryote
Lineage: Eukaryota
Description: partial 18S ribosomal RNA
Rfam family: Eukaryotic small subunit ribosomal RNA
Source: RNAcentral
CCCUUAGAUGUUCUGGGCUGCACGCGUGCUACACUGAUAUUGCCAAUAUGUCAUUCUUAUCCGAAAUGGAUUGGGUAAUCAAGUAAUGAAAUUUCAUGCUUGGAAUCGGUAAUUGCAAUUUUAUCGUGAACGAGGAAUUCCUAGUAAGCACUAGUCAUCAGCUAAUGUUGAUUAUGUCCCUGCCCUUUGUACACACCGCCCGUCGCUACUACUGAUUGGGUGUUCAAGUGAGAUGCUUAGACCCUUGUUGCAUGGUUCAUUAUUGUGCUCCGAAAGGAAAAAGUUUCAAGCUUGAGUGUCUAGAGGAAGUAAAAGUGGUAACA